GGCAAGCUGAUUGGGCAGCAAUAAAUCUGGAAAAAGACAGGUGGUCAGUGGUGAAAAUCCCAUUGAAAAACUUCGUUUUCCUUCAGUCAACCAGGCCAGCUGUACAAAUUUGCUAUAAUAAAGGAAAGAAACUCUUGUAUGCAGAAGAAAAUUUGAAACCUUCAUUGUAUUUAUUUAGAGAAGGAAACAUCAAGGUAUAAGUAAGAUGCUCAUCAGCCUUACUCGGGGAAGAUAUCAAAUAUUCAGUGAGUCCAGAUUCAUCCAAAAACAAAUACUUUCAUGAAGAAUCCAAUACCUGGCUGGCAGACCUGCGGCACCUAGAAAAAUCCACCCAAGUACCUUCAGGGGGCGCCACUACAAAG
This 362-nucleotide long non-coding RNA is filed under the name Mus spicilegus (steppe mouse). RNAcentral describes it as "lncRNA (ENSMSIG00000012259.1)". The record is from RNAcentral. Lineage: Eukaryota; Metazoa; Chordata; Mammalia; Rodentia; Muridae.